Molecule: ribosomal RNA, 253 nt
Filed under: uncultured bacterium
Lineage: Bacteria
Description: partial 16S ribosomal RNA
Rfam family: Bacterial small subunit ribosomal RNA
Source: RNAcentral
AACGUAGGAGACAAGCGUUAUCCGGAUUUACUGGGCGUAAAGCGCGUGCAGGCGGUUCGGUAAGUCGGGCGUGAAAGCUCCUGGCUCAACUGGGAGAGGCCGUCCGAAACUGCCGGACUUGAGGGCGACAGAGGGGAGUGGAAUUCCGGGUGUAGUGGUGAAAUGCGUAGAUAUCCGGAGGAACACCAGUGGCGAAGGCGGCUCCCUGGGUCGCUCCUGACGCUCAGACGCGAAAGCGUGGGUAGCGAACGGG